RNAcentral lists this ribosomal RNA (70 nucleotides) under Ochlerotatus wardangensis. RNAcentral describes it as "partial 5.8S ribosomal RNA". Lineage: Eukaryota; Metazoa; Arthropoda; Insecta; Diptera; Culicidae. The record is from RNAcentral.
CCGACACGUUGAACGCAUAUUGCACAUCGUACAACAGUACGAUGUACACAUUUUUGAGCGCCUAUCUUUA